GUGGGGAAUAUUGGGCAAUGGGCGCAAGCCUGACCCAGCAACGCCGCGUGAAGGAAGAAGGCUUUCGGGUUGUAAACUUCUUUUACCAGGGACGAAACAAAUGACGGUACCUGGUGAAUAAGCCACGGCUAACUACGUGCCAGCAGCCGCGGUAAUACGUAGGUGGCGAGCGUUAUCUGGAUUUAUUGGGUGUACAGGGCGUGUAGGCGGGACAGCAAGUCAGAUGUGAAAACCAGAGGCUCAACCUCUGGCCUGCAUUUGCAACUGUUGUUCUUGAGUGUCGGAGAGGUAAUCGGAAUUCCGUGUGUAGCGGUGAAAUGCGUAGAUAUACGGGGGAACACCAGUGGCGAAGGCGGAUUACUGGACGAUAACUGACGCUGAGGCGCGAAAGCGUGGGGAGCAAACAGGAUUAGAUACCCUUGUAGUCC
Molecule: ribosomal RNA, 428 nt
Filed under: uncultured bacterium
Lineage: Bacteria
Description: partial 16S ribosomal RNA
Rfam family: Bacterial small subunit ribosomal RNA
Source: RNAcentral